AAUAGAUACCCGGGUAGUCCACGCCGUAAACGUUGGAUACUAGGUGUGGCGUCCCGAUCAACGGAUGCCGUGCCGAAGCUAACGCAUUAAGUAUCCCGCCUGGGGAGUACGGCCGCAAGGCUAAAACUCAAAGGAAUUGACGGGUCCCCGCACAAGCGGCGGAGCAUGCGGCUUAAUUCGAUGCAACCCGAAGAACCUUACCUGGGUUUGAAAUCAUGGGAAAAGCUGUAGAAAUACAGUGUCCGUAAGGGCCCAUGACAGGUGGUGCAUGGCUGUCGUCAGCUCGUGUCGUGAGAUGUUGGGUUAAGUCCCGCAACGAGCGCAACCCUUGUCCUAUGUUGCCAGCGGUUCGGCCGGGGACUCAUAGGAGACUGCCGGGGAUAACUCGGAGGAAGGUGAGGACGACGUCAAGUCAUCAUGCCCCUUAUAUCCAGGGCUGCACGCAUGCUACAAUGGUCGGUACAACGGGCAGCGACCCCGCGAGGGUGAGCGAAUCCCACAAACGCCGGCCUCAGUUCGGAUUGGAGUCUGCAACUCGACU
RNAcentral lists this ribosomal RNA (541 nucleotides) under uncultured bacterium. RNAcentral's name for it is "bacterial SSU rRNA". It matches the Rfam family "Bacterial small subunit ribosomal RNA", at positions 777 to 1317 of the family's 1533-position model. The record is from RNAcentral.